This 588-nucleotide ribosomal RNA is filed under the name Theileria velifera. RNAcentral's name for it is "SSU rRNA". It matches the Rfam family "Eukaryotic small subunit ribosomal RNA", at positions 456 to 1081 of the family's 1831-position model. Lineage: Eukaryota; Apicomplexa; Aconoidasida; Piroplasmida; Theileriidae. The record is from RNAcentral.
ACAGGGAGGUAGUGACAAGAAAUAACAAUACGGGGCUUAAUGUCUUGUAAUUGGAAUGAUGGGAAUUUAAACCUCUUCCAGAGUAUCAAUUGGAGGGCAAGUCUGGUGCCAGCAGCCGCGGUAAUUCCAGCUCCAAUAGCGUAUAUUAAAAUUGUUGCAGUUAAAAAGCUCGUAGUUGAAUUUCUGCUACAUUGCCUAUUCUCCUUUACGAGUUUGGGUCUUUUGUGGCUUAUCUGGGUUCGCUUGCGUUCCCGGUGUUUUACUUUGAGAAAAUUAGAGUGCUCAAAGCAGGCUUUUGCCUUGAAUAGUUUAGCAUGGAAUAAUAAAGUAGGACUUUGGUUCUAUUUUGUUGGUUUUAGGUACCAAAGUAAUGGUUAAUAGGAACAGUUGGGGGCAUUCGUAUUUAACUGUCAGAGGUGAAAUUCUUAGAUUUGUUAAAGACGAACUACUGCGAAAGCAUUUGCCAAGGAUGUUUUCAUUAAUCAAGAACGAAAGUUAGGGGAUCGAAGACGAUCAGAUACCGUCGUAGUCCUAACCAUAAACUAUGCCGACUAGAGAUUGGAGGUCGUCAGUUUUUACGACUCCUUC